CUCCGUGUCAGCUGACUUCACUUCCUUCUCCAUGUCAGCUGACUUCUCUGCCUUCUCUGUGUCAGCUGACUUCUCUUCCUUCUCCAUGUCAGCUGACUUCUCUGCCUUCUCUGUGUCAGCUGACUUCUCUGCCUUCUCUGUGUCAACUGACUUCACCUCCUUCUCCGUGCCAGCUGACUUCACCUCCUUCUCCAUGUCAGCUGACUUCUCUUCCUUCUCCCUGUCAGCUGACUUCUCUUCCUUCUCCGUGUCAGC
Molecule: long non-coding RNA, 255 nt
Filed under: Salmo salar (Atlantic salmon)
Lineage: Eukaryota; Metazoa; Chordata; Actinopteri; Salmoniformes; Salmonidae
Description: lncRNA (ENSSSAG00000101577.1)
Source: RNAcentral